This 947-nucleotide long non-coding RNA is filed under the name Helianthus annuus (common sunflower). The record is from RNAcentral. Lineage: Eukaryota; Viridiplantae; Streptophyta; Magnoliopsida; Asterales; Asteraceae.
CCCAGAUUGCUCAUUGCUCAUUACUAUAUUAUCUAUAAUAACAUUUGCCGUAGGUUCUUAGCUACAGUACUAACGCCGUGAAGAAACAUCGUUUAAAAAAGGGUAACCCACGUAAUCCAGUUCCACCGCAUCCCACGACGUCCUCCGCUUCCUCCCUCUUCUCUCUGUCUACGACUGCUACGUCCACACGUCGUCGUCCCUCCCUUCAAUUUCGAUUCCGAUGAUCACGCUUGAUGCUUUCGUUUGAAAUUAGGGCUCCAACAGGUAACUUGGUAGAAUCUUCCUCGAAACAAAGUAUAUCAUCAGUUCCAACGUUUGAUGUGGCGUUUUUGGUUGCCAUAAACAAUAUGAUGGUCCCAAAUUGCAGGCCCUAGGUUGCAGUUAGCCUUUUAAUUGUUCCCCAUUCCACAUGUUAUGGUUUUCACUUAUGUUUACCGGCUUACUAACAUUGUGUACCAAAAUGAAUCCGAGAGGGGCCUUUGGCAAGCGUUCAACAAAGUUUAGUUCUUAUUAAAAUGUGUAUCUGCACAUGGUCGUCGUUUGCGUAGGGUAUUAUGAAUGUUAAGAGUCAGUGAUAGGUGAUUGAUCUGCUUCGUCUCAAGAACAACACACCCCCACUUUCUGUGCUCCUUUACUUUGUAACGAUGGUUUAGUGUUAAUGAUUUUGAUGUGCUUUUUUGAUGUGCUCUCGGCACCUUUAACAUAUCGAAAAACUAUAAAAUACGAUCGCAUGAUUUUGGACGUCGAUGGGUCAGCUAAACUUUUGUAAAGAAAUUGGGGUUCCCCGCAAAGCGGGGGUCGGAAAAUUCUAGUAUAUUAACAAUUUAGGUAGCAUCUUGGCUAUAGUAGCCAAUUAAACCUUCAUUAUAAAGAUAUUUACUAAAGUACCAUUUGAGUAUCAUCUCUUUCAUCAAACAGAUCCAAGUAUUGGAUAUUUUUUUUCUUUU